This 442-nucleotide ribosomal RNA is filed under the name Pseudomonas putida. Its description in RNAcentral is "bacterial SSU rRNA". It matches the Rfam family "Bacterial small subunit ribosomal RNA", at positions 35 to 474 of the family's 1533-position model. Lineage: Bacteria; Pseudomonadati; Pseudomonadota; Gammaproteobacteria; Pseudomonadales; Pseudomonadaceae. The record is from RNAcentral.
GCUGGCGGCAGGCCUAACACAUGCAAGUCGAGCGGAUGAGAAGAGCUUGCUCUUCGAUUCAGCGGCGGACGGGUGAGUAAUGCCUAGGAAUCUGCCUGGUAGUGGGGGACAACGUUUCGAAAGGAACGCUAAUACCGCAUACGUCCUACGGGAGAAAGCAGGGGACCUUCGGGCCUUGCGCUAUCAGAUGAGCCUAGGUCGGAUUAGCUAGUUGGUGAGGUAAUGGCUCACCAAGGCGACGAUCCGUAACUGGUCUGAGAGGAUGAUCAGUCACACUGGAACUGAGACACGGUCCAGACUCCUACGGGAGGCAGCAGUGGGGAAUAUUGGACAAUGGGCGAAAGCCUGAUCCAGCCAUGCCGCGUGUGUGAAGAAGGUCUUCGGAUUGUAAAGCACUUUAAGUUGGGAGGAAGGGCAGUAAGAAUACCUUGCUGUUUUGACG